This 751-nucleotide ribosomal RNA is filed under the name uncultured Actinomyces sp. RNAcentral's name for it is "bacterial SSU rRNA". It matches the Rfam family "Bacterial small subunit ribosomal RNA", at positions 28 to 776 of the family's 1533-position model. The record is from RNAcentral. Lineage: Bacteria; Bacillati; Actinomycetota; Actinomycetes; Actinomycetales; Actinomycetaceae.
GACGAACGCUGGCGGCGUGCUUAACACAUGCAAGUCGAACGCUGAAGCCUAGCUUGCUGGGUGGAUGAGUGGCGAACGGGUGAGUAACACGUGAGUAACCUGCCCCCUUCUUUGGGAUAACGCCCGGAAACGGGUGCUAAUACUGGAUAUUCACUGAUCUUCGCAUGGGGGUUGGUGGAAAGGUUUUUUCUGGUGGGGGAUGGGCUCGCGGCCUAUCAGCUUGUUGGUGGGGUGAUGGCCUACCAAGGCUUUGACGGGUAGCCGGCCUGAGAGGGUGACCGGUCACAUUGGGACUGAGAUACGGCCCAGACUCCUACGGGAGGCAGCAGUGGGGAAUAUUGCACAAUGGGCGGAAGCCUGAUGCAGCGACGCCGCGUGAGGGAUGGAGGCCUUCGGGUUGUAAACCUCUUUCGCUCAUGGUCAAGCCGCAACGUAUGGUUGUGGUGAGGGUAGUGGGUAAAGAAGCGCCGGCUAACUACGUGCCAGCAGCCGCGGUAAUACGUAGGGCGCGAGCGUUGUCCGGAAUUAUUGGGCGUAAAGGGCUUGUAGGCGGUUGGUCGCGUCUGCCGUGAAAUCCUCUGGCUUAACUGGGGGCGUGCGGUGGGUACGGGCUGACUUGAGUGCGGUAGGGGAGACUGGAACUCCUGGUGUAGCGGUGGAAUGCGCAGAUAUCAAGAAGAACACCGGUGGCGAAGGCGGGUCUCUGGGCCGUUACUGACGCUGAGAAGCGAAAGCGUGGGGAGCGAACAGG